This 671-nucleotide ribosomal RNA is filed under the name marine metagenome. RNAcentral describes it as "bacterial SSU rRNA". It matches the Rfam family "Bacterial small subunit ribosomal RNA", at positions 585 to 1268 of the family's 1533-position model. The record is from RNAcentral.
AAGUCGGUCAUGAAAGCUCCCGGCUCAACUGGGAGAGGUUGUUCGAUACUGCUAGACUAGAGGGCAAGAGAGGGAGGUGGAAUUCCCGGUGUAGAGGUGAAAUGCGUAGAUAUCGGGAGGAACACCAGUGGCGAAGGCGGCCUCCUGGCUUGCAUCUGACGCUGAGACGCGAAAGCGUGGGGAGCGAACGGGAUUAGAAACCCCGGUAGUCCACGCCGUAAACGAUGUCAACUAGGUGUUGGUGGUAUAAAAUCCAUCGGUACCGGAGCUAACGCAUUAAGUUGACCGCCUGGGGACUACGAUCGCAAGAUUAAAACUCAAAGGAAUUGACGGGGACCCGCACAAGCAGCGGAGCGUGUGGUUUAAUUCGAGGCUACGCGAAGAACCUUACCAGGGAUUGACAUGCACGUAGUAGGGAAGCGAAAGCGGACCGACCCUUCGGGGAGCGUGCACAGGUGAUGCAUGGCUGUCGUCAGCUCGUGCCGUGAGGUGUCAGGUUAAGUCCUGUAACGAGCGCAACCCCUGUCGUGUGUUAUACGUGUCACACGAGACUGCCGGUGUCAAACCGGAGGAAGGCGGGGAUGACGUCAAGUCAGCAUGUCCUUCAUAUCCUGGGCUACACACACGCUACAAUGGUCGGGACAAUAGGCAGCCAAGCCGCGAGGCGGAGC